GAUGAACGCUAGCGAUAGGCUUAACACAUGCAAGUCGAGGGGCAGCAUGGUCUUAGCUUGCUAAGACUGAUGGCGACCGGCGCACGGGUGCGUAACGCGUAUGCAACUUGCCUCACAGAGGGGGAUAACCCGUCGAAAGACGGACUAAUACCGCGUACACUUGGGAUAGGGCAUCCUGACCCAAGGAAAUGAAAUUCGCUGUGAGAUAGGCAUGCGUCCCAUUAGCUAGUUGGUGAGGUAACGGCUCACCAAGGCGACGAUGGGUAGGGGAACUGAGAGGUUGAACCCCCACACUGGUACUGAGACACGGACCAGACUCCUACGGGAGGCAGCAGUGAGGAAUAUUGGUCAAUGGGCGAGAGCCUGAACCAGCCAAGUCACGUGAAGGAUGACUGUCUUAUGGAUUGUAAACUUCUUUUAUACGGGAAUAACAAGAGCCACGUGUGGCUCCCUGCAUGUACCGUAUGAAUAAGCAUCGGCUAACUCCGUG
Molecule: ribosomal RNA, 490 nt
Filed under: uncultured bacterium
Lineage: Bacteria
Description: partial 16S ribosomal RNA
Rfam family: Bacterial small subunit ribosomal RNA
Source: RNAcentral